This 468-nucleotide ribosomal RNA is filed under the name uncultured bacterium. RNAcentral's name for it is "partial 16S ribosomal RNA". It matches the Rfam family "Bacterial small subunit ribosomal RNA", at positions 28 to 507 of the family's 1533-position model. The record is from RNAcentral.
GACGAACGCUGGCGGCGUGCUUAACACAUGCAAGUCGAACGGAAAGGCCCUGCUUUUUUGGGGUGCUCGAGUGGCGAACGGGUGAGUAACACGUGUGUAACCUGCCCUUGACUUUGGGAUAACUUCAGGAAACUGGGGCUAAUACCGGAUAGGAGCUCCUGCUGCAUGGUGGGGGUUGGAAAGUUUCGGCGGUUGGGGAUGGACGGGCGGCUAAUCAGCUUGUUGGUGGGGUAGUGGCUUACCAAGGCUGUGACGGGUAGGCGGCCUGAGAGGGUGACCGGGGACAUUGGGCCUGAGGUACGGACCAGUCUGCAACGGGAGGCAGUGGGGGGGAGUAUGGCACAGUGAGCGGAAGCCUGAGACAGAAACGCUGCGUUCGGGAUGACGGCCUGCGGGUUGUGAACAGCUUUAGCCUGUGACGAAGCGGGAGUGACGGUAAUGGAUAAAGAAGCACCGGCUAACUACGUG